This 82-nucleotide transfer RNA is filed under the name Canis lupus familiaris (dog). It matches the Rfam family "tRNA". From Rfam's summary of the family: Transfer RNA (tRNA) molecules are approximately 80 nucleotides in length. RNAcentral also lists the same sequence under 1 other name. Lineage: Eukaryota; Metazoa; Chordata; Mammalia; Carnivora; Canidae. The record is from Rfam by way of RNAcentral.
GCCUGGGUGGCUCAGCGGUUGAGCAUCUGCCUUGUGUUCAGGGCGUGAUCGCAGGUCCUGGGAUUGAGUCCCAGAUCAGGCU